CGUAUCACUUAAAGCGAUUCAGCGGGUUACGAUUGACGGAGCGAAGCGACGUCAAAGCGUAUACAAAGUCGAGUCGGUUUAAGGAUACGUUCGUUGGGUAGGGGAGCGUUCUGUAAGCCUGUGAAGGUGGCCUGUGAGGGUUGCUGGAGGUAUCAGAAGUGCGAAUGCUGACAUAAGUAACGAUAAAGCGGGUGAAAAGCCCGCUCGCCGGAAGACCAAGGGUUCCUGUCCAACGUUAAUCGGGGCAGGGUGAGUCGACCCCUAAGGCGAGGCCGAAAGGCGUAGUCGAUGGGAAACAGGUUAAUAUUCCUGUACUUGGUGUUACUGCGAAGGGGGGACGGAGAAGGCUAUGUUGGCCGGGCGACGGUUGUCCCGGUUUAAGCGUGUAGGCUGGUUUUCCAGGCAAAUCCGGAAAAUCAAGGCUGAGGCGUGAUGACGAGGCACUACGGUGCUGAAGCAACAAAUGCCCUGCUUCCAGGAAAAGCCUCUAAGCAUCAGGUAACAUCAAAUCGUACCCCAAACCGACACAGGUGGUCAGGUAGAGAAUACCAAGGCGCUUGAGAGAACUCGGGUGAAGGAACUAGGCAAAAUGGUGCCGUAACUUCGGGAGAAGGCACGCUGACACGUAGGUGAAGUGAUUUACUCACGGAGCUGAAGUCAGUCGAAGAUACCAGCUGGCUGCAACUGUUUAUUAAAAACACAGCACUGUGCAAACACGAAAGUGGACGUAUACGGUGUGACGCCUGCCCGGUGCCGGAAGGUUAAUUGAUGGGGUCAGCGCAAGCGAAGCUCCUGAUCGAAGCCCCGGUAAACGGCGGCCGUAACUAUAACGGUCCUAAGGUAGCGAAAUUCCUUGUCGGGUAAGUUCCGACCUGCACGAAUGGCGUAAUGAUGGCCAGGCUGUCUCCACCCGAGACUCAGUGAAAUUGAACUCGCUGUGAAGAUGCAGUGUACCCGCGGCAAGACGGAAAGACCCCGUGAACCUUUACUAUAGCUUGACACUGAACAUUGAGCCUUGAUGUGUAGGAUAGGUGGGAGGCUUUGAAGUGUGGACGCCAGUCUGCAUGGAGCCGACCUUGAAAUACCACCCUUUAAUGUUUGAUGUUCUAACGUGGACCCGUAAUCCGGGUUGCGGACAGUGUCUGGUGGGUAGUUUGACUGGGGCGGUCUCCUCCUAAAGAGUAACGGAGGAGCACGAAGGUUGGCUAAUCCUGGUCGGACAUCAGGAGGUUAGUGCAAUGGCAUAAGCCAGCUUGACUGCGAGCGUGACGGCGCGAGCAGGUGCGAAAGCAGGUCAUAGUGAUCCGGUGGUUCUGAAUGGAAGGGCCAUCGCUCAACGGAUAAAAGGUACUCCGGGGAUAACAGGCUGAUACCGCCCAAGAGUUCAUAUCGACGGCGGUGUUUGGCACCUCGAUGUCGGCUCAUCACAUCCUGGGGCUGAAGUAGGUCCCAAGGGUAUGGCUGUUCGCCAUUUAAAGUGGUACGCGAGCUGGGUUUAGAACGUCGUGAGACAGUUCGGUCCCUAUCUGCCGUGGGCGCUGGAGAACUGAGGGGGGCUGCUCCUAGUACGAGAGGACCGGAGUGGACGCAUCACUGGUGUUCGGGUUGUCAUGCCAAUGGCACUGCCCG
This 1629-nucleotide ribosomal RNA is filed under the name Salmonella enterica subsp. enterica serovar Litchfield. Its description in RNAcentral is "partial 23S ribosomal RNA". It matches the Rfam family "Bacterial large subunit ribosomal RNA", at positions 1154 to 2744 of the family's 2925-position model. The record is from RNAcentral. Lineage: Bacteria; Pseudomonadati; Pseudomonadota; Gammaproteobacteria; Enterobacterales; Enterobacteriaceae.